CCUACGGGAGGCUGCAGUGAGGAAUAUUGGUCAAUGGACGAGAGUCUGAACCAGCCAAGUAGCGUGAAGGAUGACUGCCCUAUGGGUUGUAAACUUCUUUUAUAUGGGAAUAAAACGUUCCACGUGUGGGAUUUUGUAUGUACCAUAUGAAUAAGGAUCGGCUAACUCCGUGCCAGCAGCCGCGGUAAUACGGAGGAUCCGAGCGUUAUCCGGAUUUAUUGGGUUUAAAGGGAGCGUAGGUGGAUUGUUAAGUCAGUUGUGAAAGUUUGCGGCUCAACCGUAAAAUUGCAGUUGAAACUGGCAGUCUUGAGUACAGUAGAGGUGGGCGGAAUUCGUUGUGUAGCGGUGAAAUGCUUAGAUAUCACGAAGAACUCCGAUUGCGAAGGCAGUUCACUGGACUGCAACUGACACUGAGGCUCGAAAGUGUGGGUAUCAAACAGGAUUAGAUACCCGUGUAGUC
RNAcentral lists this ribosomal RNA (460 nucleotides) under uncultured bacterium. Its description in RNAcentral is "partial 16S ribosomal RNA". It matches the Rfam family "Bacterial small subunit ribosomal RNA", at positions 338 to 795 of the family's 1533-position model. The record is from RNAcentral.